GAUCAUGACUCAGGACGAACGCUGGCGGCGCGCCUAACACAUGCAAGUCGAACGAGCGAGAGGAAGUUUACUUUUUCAAGCGAGUGGCGAACGGGUGAGUAACGCGUGAGGAACCUGCCUCAAAGAGGGGGACAACAGUUGGAAACGACUGCUAAUACCGCAUAAGCCCACGGCUCGGCAUCGAGCAGGGGGAAAAGGAGCAAUCCGCUUUGAGAUGGCCUCGCGUCCGAUUAGCUAGUUGGUGAGG
Molecule: ribosomal RNA, 247 nt
Filed under: uncultured bacterium
Lineage: Bacteria
Description: partial 16S ribosomal RNA
Rfam family: Bacterial small subunit ribosomal RNA
Source: RNAcentral